RNAcentral lists this ribosomal RNA (636 nucleotides) under uncultured bacterium. RNAcentral's name for it is "bacterial SSU rRNA". The stretch from base 1 to 534 matches the Rfam family "Bacterial small subunit ribosomal RNA", at positions 338 to 873 of the family's 1533-position model. The record is from RNAcentral.
CCUACGGGAGGCAGCAGUGAGGAAUAUUGGACAAUGGGCGCAAGCCUGAUCCAGCCAUGCCGCGUGCAGGAUGACGGUCCUAUGGAUUGUAAACUGCUUUUGUACAGGAAGAAACAGUUCUACGUGUAGAACCUUGACGGUACUGUAAGAAUAAGGAUCGGCUAACUCCGUGCCAGCAGCCGCGGUAAUACGGAGGAUCCAAGCGUUAUCCGGAAUCAUUGGGUUUAAAGGGUCCGUAGGCGGUUUAGUAAGUCAGUGGUGAAAGCCCAUCGCUCAACGGUGGAACGGCCAUUGAUACUGCUAAACUUGAAUUAUUAGGAAGUAACUAGAAUAUGUAGUGUAGCGGUGAAAUGCUUAGAGAUUACAUGGAAUACCAAUUGCGAAGGCAGGUUACUACUAAUUGAUUGACGCUGAUGGACGAAAGCGUGGGUAGCGAACAGGAUUAGAUACCCUGGUAGUCCACGCCGUAAACGAUGGAUACUAGCUGUUGGAAGCAAUUUCAGUGGCUAAGCGAAAGUGAUAAGUAUCCCCACCUCGGGAGGUACGGUUCGUCGAGAAGAGAACGUACAAAUAGUAAGUUAGUACGGCGUGAGACGUAGACCGAACGGACGACCGACCGAGGGGAGGGUUAGGGAG